This 5468-nucleotide long non-coding RNA is filed under the name Diabrotica virgifera virgifera (western corn rootworm). RNAcentral describes it as "uncharacterized LOC114333782". Lineage: Eukaryota; Metazoa; Arthropoda; Insecta; Coleoptera; Chrysomelidae. The record is from RNAcentral.
UCGAUAUGAGAAUUUGAGGAUUUUUCAAACGGCGUCCCAAUUUGUUUAAAUAGUAGGAAAGUCCUCAAGUCUGUGUAAGUAUCCUUUGCUUAUUUGGUUAUGUAGUUUAGUCUUCUUUAAACCCUCCUACCCCUCCCAACGAAUCUACGACCUGCCACCGCACAAAAAAUGAGCUGCCGUUCGCAUGAAGGUUUGCGUGUCUGUUCCUUCUGCUAGCCCCAUUUCGACUCCCCAGUAUCUCUAUAGAUAGUCUUUCCUUGAUCCCAUUAGAGCAGACAGGUAAAACGCUUCAACUGUCGCCCUAGAACGUGGGGCAUGUCUUUUUUGCCUCCCUCAGACCCCAUUUGCAUGUUCCCACUACCAUGUCCUUUUAGCCUCCUUUCGGUCUCAUUUGUACUACAACUGUUAGGCAGUGCCCGUCUUGGGUAGCCGAUCUCAGUUUGUGGUGCAGGUGUUUCCGAUAACAUGGAAGCUCGACUCGUGUCAUGUUUUGUAUGCCCACUGUUACAAGUCUAGCUUGUAGACAUGUUCAACUAGUAGUUAGCCUAUCUACUAGUCCCCAAUGUCUUUAGCCACCCCCCACUUAGUGUUACAUUUGUAACGUACACCCUGAAGUUUGACCUGAGUAGAUAUCGCCCCAGUCUUCCCAUGUAGUUUAGCCCAGAUUCCUCUUGUCUUGCCCCCCCGAAACUGUUUCAUGUCUGUUAGUGCCCCCGAAACUGUUUCAGUCUGUUAGUCCCCAUGAAAGAGCCCAUUUUUGUAGUUUUUGUUGCAGAAUGUUAAUAAUUUUUCCAAAGAGGUGUAAGUAUGUACACAUUUUGUUGUGAUGUUGAUUUGGUCGUGCUGUUGAUUGUAUAGGCAUGUACCAUUUCAUACAUCAUAGUGUAUUUAACUUGUAACCCCAUAUGUAUACUGGUAUUGUAUUGUAUUGUAUGUAUCGUAGAACAGAAUUGUAUGUUAUUUUAGCGUACUAACUGUAUUGUAUUGAUAUUGUACCCAUGAUGAAAGCAUUGAAUUGAUUUUUUUGAAAGUAUUGAUGAAAUAUAUAGACAAACAGUUGAAUAAAAAAGUAACGUAAAAUUUUUUUUGAAAAUUUUGAUUAAAAGUAACGUUAAAUAUUUUGAAUAUUGAAUCCAAUUAUGAAGUAUAACAGUAUGUUGUAUUUUUUGCAUGUAUUCCUAUAGAUCAACAGUUUUUUACAGAAUAACCGUUUUUUGUGAUUAUUGAUUUGGUCAUUUGAGUAGAUGUGUAAUGUUGUUGGUAUGGUCCGUGUAUGAGCUUAGCCCCGUAUAGUCUGUGUGAGAGUAGUCCCUUGUUUUUCCAGCGAAGCCUAUCUCUGUUGGUGUAUGUCAUGCCACAGGUUAGUUGGAGAAGUCAUCCCAUUGAGAAGUCAUCCCCUUGAGAAGUGGCCCCGUGAAGAAGUGAAGAGGGAAACCGUGGAGAGGCCCCCCACUUCUGUGUUUUUUUCAAGCAGCCAGGAGAAAAGCUGUCACUUUUAGAUUUGAAGAUAGCGUUCUCUGUCGACACUGUUUGAGAAUAACUGUCUUGAAGUGUAGAAGUUAGCCCCUGAAAAAGCCCCCCCCUUGUCUGUGUUGCCCCUUGUUUUUUUUUUUGACUAAUCUAUCUUUGUAGGUGUCAAAAGGAUGCCAGAGGUUAGUUAAAAAGAGCCCGUGAAGUAGUAGUUGAAGUCUCCCCCCUGUGAAGUGAAGUAGUAGAAGUCCCCCCGUGAAUGAAGUAUGUCUUUUUGUAUCUGACAUGUCACAAGUGUAAUACUCGUGAUGAAGGAAGUGUUGUUCAGCUAUCUGUGAACACUUUCAUUAGUAGUCGGAGCAAGAAAUGUCUUAUCCCGUGUGAGCUCAUAUAGGAACCAAAUUUCAAUAUUGUUUGUGUUUGUAAGCCCCUGAGUAUAUCUAGAAGUCAAAAAGUAUGUUGUUGUCUGUUUGUUUGUCUAUCCCUGUUUAGUCUGGAAAUUUUAGAGUCUGUUAUCCCGUAUUGUUCUGUUAGCCCCUGUCCAUGAUAGAGUUUGAUUUUUUUGGCGAAUAGUUCGUUGACCUCUCUUGUGUUUGUUUAUUGAAAGUAGGCUAAGAGCAGAAGCUGUGACAAGGCUGGUGAGCUUAGGAUCUGGCCGCGUUGAGUACAGGUGAAGCUUGCUUUCGGUGGAUAAAUGGAAGUGGUCGUUCGUCGGAAUUGUCAUUCUUUCCAAUGUCCCUUUGGUCUUUCCCUUGUGUUUGCUUUCAUCCCUGUUUUGAAAAAGUAGUCUAACCCCAGUUUGGAAGAGUGAAGUCUACUCAUGUUUUGGAAAAAUAAAGUCUACCCAUUGUUUUGGAAAAGUAAGAUCUACUCAUGUUUUGGAAAAGUAAGAUCAUAUCCCCGGUUUUGAAAAGUGAAGAAUAUCCCAGUUAGUGAUUUGAAAAUGAGAAAGUUGUCUGGUGAACUUUCAUGAAAAGCUUUUAUGUCCUAGAUUGGACUUUGGAUUGGAAACGUAAUGAUGUAGUAUUUCCUAUGUCAUGUGUUACGUUAUUUUUUUUUGAUCUUAUUAAAUGGUUUGAUAUCCCGUUUGAAUCCAGUAUACUAGUUUUUUUUGGUCUUUUAUGUUGUCACACGCAUUCCCCCCUGUUUGGUCUUGUUUGAAUGAGUUGUUGAGAUAAGUUAUUUGUGACAUUUUAUCUCAACGAGGUAUUUAGAAUGGAUUGUCUAAAUCCUCCUUUUGCAGAACCGUUGCCGAAUGUCCCGUGAAACUCGCUAGGUGUUUAGAGUUUAAGCAGAUGCCUAUCUGCUGAGCCAAGAGCUCAGAAAGAUUUUUUUAGUUUUUGAAAACCAAUCUUGGUUAGGCAACGAGGUGAUGAGGCUGUGUCUGCCCUGCUAUAUGGUAUGUAUUAUAUGGUAUAUAUAAUAUGUAUAUCACUUGUGUUACUGUCGUGGAUGUCAGCGAGGUCCACACAGGGCACAAGAUUAUUUCUUUCCCAAGACACAGAAACUCCUGUCACCUACAGUUCUCAGUAGAGUCUUUAAACAUUUAAGUCUACUCGACUUUAAAGAGUCUGGCGAUUGAUGGCACGCUAGCCCACUCCCUAAUGAUGUUUUGUUUUUGUUUAAUCCCCACUAGCCAUUAUUUAAAUAUUUUAGUAUUGUUUAUCCUGUCAUACCCAAGAAGUCAAUGUUUUUUUUGUUGUUAUCGAAAACUGAAUAGUUAAUCCAGUUUCCUCUCUUCCGAGGAGGCUAUUGUAGCAGAUGGAUUUCUACUACAAUGUUUUAUAAAAAAAUAUCCAUUAAUUUUAAUCCUAUCCCAAGAAAAAUAUUAAUUUUUCUAAUAUAUUUUGCGAGUUUAUAUAUCUUUAAAAUUUCCUAAGCCGCUCCUGUUCGCAUUGUAAAGGUUAGGAAAUUUCCUAUUUAUUUGUGUAGCAAUAACCAACUACGUAGAUUGUUAUUGAAAACAUCCAUUAUUCGAGAAUGAAUCCUCUAAAAGGUUCAGUGUUUUUCCUUUAAGUUUUGAGCGCUAAAAAUCCCAUGUUAUUAUUGGUCUGCAUUUUGAAAGAUCCUUGAGUUGUAGUUGAGGAUUGGUCAAUAGUUUUGGCCGAACGAUCGAGAAGAAAUGCAUCGUUUGGACGCGAGAGAGACGUGACGAUGUAAAGUUAGUUCUAAAAGUACAUCAGCUCUGUAAGCAUCUUUUUGUUAGAACUCAACUAACAGACUCGCAGAAAGUCGCACUUUGCCGGCCAAAAUGGUUUUCUUCUUAUAGUAAAAGAACUAAUGGAUUUCUAACAUGUCAAGGAAUAUAAUGACAAUAGUUUCACGGCAUUUUAAUGGAUAUAUUAUUGUGAAACAGUUCUAUUGUUAUGCAGUUUGAUUUGCCGGUAAAAGAAGUGCGUGGUUUCCUGGUUCCUGUCCUUUAUGUAGCUGUUGCUAUUUUUAUGAUGUUUUGAUUUGUUCAUGUUCCAGUAAGAAAUGCCCAGAUGAUAUUAUUUGGUAUCGAUUUUAUCCAGUUUUGUAAUGAUUUGAAUAUCUUCCCCUCCCAGCCCCGUCUGAAUGGAAAAUUUUGAAGUUCCAAGUGUUGUGACAUGGAUUUUUGUUUUAACAAGGUAUGAUAAUGUUUAUUUUAAAUAAUUCACAAGUGGAUAUUAUUGGUAAAGGUUUUACAUAAUUAAAAAUGUUUGUUUUCAACAUGGAAAAUAUAUUAUGUAAAGUAAAUAUUAGAUGGCAGUGACAUUUGACAGCCAUGUCAAAUUUUUGUUUUGGUACACUGCUAAAAAUAAGGUUAAAAAUUGUAAAAUCAUGUAUUUUGUUAUUAUUAUUCAUUUCUGGUUUGAGAAUGUGUCUAUUCUCAAUAAAAAUAAAAAGGUAUUAAGGUUUAAAUAAACACUAUAAAAUGUACACAUCUUUAUUUCUGUAACCUCUUUAUUUAAGAAAAUUAUUAACAGAUAUCUAAUACAAGUGAAUAAGUUUUAGAACAGAAGAAAAUAUAAUGGCAUAGAAGCCAAAUGAUGAUAAUUUGUAGCCCACUAUAACCCCAAUGAGGAAUCUACGAUGAAUGUCCCCCAGUUGCUUUCCAGUAAGUACUCGAUAUGAGAAUUUGAGGAUUUUUCAAACGGCGUCCCAAUUUGUUUAAAUAGUAGGAAAGUCCUCAAGUCUGUACUUUGCCGCAUCCCAUAGUCCAAAUCCUUGGAAUGAUGUAGAGCAUCCUAAGGACACCUGUAACUUGGCUUUGUUUCCAACAGCCUUCCAGACGCUUUAGAUGUUGUAGUGCUAAGAGGAUUUCAUCCUAAAUAGACCUGUCUUCGUGGGAAUACCAGUGUGGAAGAUAAGAUAAGCUUUUACUUUAUUUUUUUCUGUUGUUAAAGUAAAGUCAAGUUGCUUCUCAUUCUUAACUGUAAACUUUUUGUGUGCACAUAAUUAGGUACAUUUUGACUAGUUUUUGUAAUUAAUAGGGGGGUUCUAGUUGUUUUUUUUUAAUAAAAUAGGAUUUCAAAUAAAUAUUAAAUACAUAAUGGAUAAUAAUAAUUGAAAAUAAAUCAAGUUUUUAAAAUGUAAUAGAGAAGAGAAAUAGGGGUAUUAAAGGGUUACCAACAAGAGUAAUUUUCAAAGUUAAAAGGGUUUUUACAAACAAAAUUUAAUUAAAAGAGUUUCUGACCGACUCAUAUCUAGUGUUUUCUGUAUAUCUCCAGUAUCUAUGUUGUAAGUAUACUACGAGCACAUAGAUCUGGAACGUUAGCUACUUGGACACUUGUCAGUCCCAGGACCAUCAUUUAUAUACUAACAUUUGGCUAUUCUCCCGGACUUGAUUAUUGAAUCUUACUAAUAUUUGUUUACUUGGCACAAUAGUGGUGAUUUUUGCUAUUUAUUAGUGGUCUUUUGGCCGUAUCUAUUUCUACACCACUAUUGUUUAUAUUACUGUAGGCUGUUACAUAUAUAAGUAAAAGCUAUUUUGAUAUUCGUUAGUAUAUUUAUUGUAAAUAUAUUUGUCAAUAGUA